Molecule: ribosomal RNA, 493 nt
Filed under: uncultured bacterium
Lineage: Bacteria
Description: bacterial SSU rRNA
Rfam family: Bacterial small subunit ribosomal RNA
Source: RNAcentral
AGAGUUUGAUCAUGGCUCAGAGUGAACGCUGGCGGCGUGCUUAACACAUGCAAGUCGAACGGAUGAAAUAAGCUUGCUUAUUUCGUUAGUGGCGCACGGGUGAGUAAUGUAUAGCUAACCUGCCCUUUAGUGGGGGACAACAGUUGGAAACGACUGCUAAUACCCCAUACUCCAGCCUAUCAAAAGGUAGGUUGGGAAAGAUUUAUUGCUAAAGGAUGGGGCUUUAUGGUAUCAGCUAGUUGGUGGGGUAACGGCCUACCAAGGCAAUGACGCCUACCCUGGUCUGAGAGGAUGAUCAGGCACACUGGAACUGAGACACGGUCCAGACUCCUACGGGAGGCAGCAGUGGGGAAUAUUGCACAAUGGGGGAAACCCUGAUGCAAGCAACGCCGCGUGGAGGAUGACGCAUUUCGGUGUGUAAACUCCUUUUAUAAGGGAAGAUAAUGACGGUACCUUAUGAAUAAGCACCGGCUAACUCCGUGCCAGCAGCAGC